AUAUAUAUAUGAUAUACUACACCCUAGGUGUAGAAUAAGUAUUCUACACCCAGCACCCAAACCAACUAGCCCACCAGCCAUCCUCUUUGCCCGACCCGAUCCAACCUCCCACUUGGCCCACGGCCCAUCCACGAGUCAUGUUACUACCCACCAGGCCACCACCCUGUCCACGCUAACAUGCUGCCCAAACAGCGAUUCGAGGCUCGAUUCGGCGGCGGCGACGACGACGCGAUUUCAGGUGGCGCAUCCCUCCCGCCCAACUACUCCUGCACACCCUAGCGCGGCGUGGAUCCCAGGCGGCGCACCCGAGCAGCGGCGGGAGCCUAGGCGGCACGCCCUCCCGCACCCUUGAGCGGGGACGACGACGACGCCCGUGGCUUGUGCCAGCCGCUGUUCUCCAUCGAGUUCUCGUUCUUCGCCGCUACAAGUGGUGAUGUAAAUGCCAAGGGUUAAAAUCAAAGGCGAUCUUCCUAAAGGCAUCAAAGGUAUAUCAUUGAGGGAUAGCCAAGGUGCCGAGUUCCGAUAGACCUCACACAGACCCAGCCUCGAGAUCUUGAGAUAGUCCUGCAGAUGCUGCACUGGACACAGUCUUAAUCGGAACGUGCAGCUGUAGGCUGUGGUGAUGAUGAGAUAGCUACACCAGCUACAUUCAUCCCGAGCUCACUAGAUGAGGGGUGUAAACGCCAUGGAUUAAAAUCAUAGGCGGCAUUUUAAAGGCAUCAAAGGUAUAUCAUUGAGGGAUUGCGGAGGUGUCGAGUUCCGGAUGGACCUCACACAGACCUAGUCUCCAGAUGCUUUCGUGGUUGCGACAUAGGACACAGUUGAAUUAGAAACAUGCAACUGUAUAUGGUGGUGAUGAUGAGAAUACUCCAGCAGCUACACUCAUUUUGUAGAUCUUUUUAGACUACAAGAGACUGUUAAUUUGUGACUAAUAUGUAUAUAGAUUCAUGCUCACCGCCAAUUAUAUUUAUAUACUUGGAUUUUCGGUAAUCUAGAUAAACAAUUAUUCAGUAUAUGCACUUCCAGUAAUUUUGUAUAUUUUUGAGAAAUUGUUUUCUAGUAAUACCCAUGUACAUGCUUGGAUUUAGUAGUGCAGAGUUUCAAGUACAUCCAAUAAUACCUAUGCACAUUUAGAUUCUGUAAUACAUCGUAUAAUUCCAAUGUA
This is a long non-coding RNA of Panicum virgatum (switchgrass), 1165 nucleotides long. RefSeq lists it as uncharacterized. The record is from RefSeq and is a predicted model, not a curated record. NCBI's taxonomy places the organism in Eukaryota, Viridiplantae, Streptophyta, Magnoliopsida, Poales, Poaceae. The transcript has 3 exons.